AUACCUUUCUCGGGCUUUUAGCUAAGAUCAAGUGUAGUAUCUGUUCUUAUCAGUUUAAUAUCUGAUACGUGGGCCAAUGGCUCACAUGAUAUUAAAUUCAUUUCUUUAGGGGGAGGGUCCACUACAGUAGCUUGCUGUUGGGGCUCUCUAGUGUCACCCAAGCGUUGCACUACUGCAUAAUUCUAGCGCACCCCAU
Small nuclear RNA from Prunus persica (peach), 196 nucleotides. It matches the Rfam family "U2 spliceosomal RNA". From Rfam's summary of the family: U2 is a small nuclear RNA (snRNA) component of the spliceosome (involved in pre-mRNA splicing). Complementary binding between U2 snRNA (in an area lying towards the 5' end but 3' to hairpin I) and the branchpoint sequence (BPS) of the intron results the bulging out of an unpaired adenosine, on the BPS, which initiates a nucleophilic attack at the intronic 5' splice site, thus starting the first of two transesterification reactions that mediate splicing. The record is from Rfam. Lineage: Eukaryota; Viridiplantae; Streptophyta; Magnoliopsida; Rosales; Rosaceae.